CCGGCGCACGGGUGAGUAACGCGUAUGCACCUGCCCGAUACCGGGGUAUAGCCCAUGGAAACGUGGAUUAACACCCCAUAGUCCUGCAUGGGUAAAUGUUCAAGGUAUCGGAUGGGCAUGCGUCCUAUUAGUUAGUUGGCGGGGUAACAGCCCACCAAGACGAUGAUAGGUAGGGGUUCUGAGAGGAAGGUCCCCCACAUUGGAACUGAGACACGGUCCAAACUCAUACGGGAGGCAGCAGUGAGGAAUAUUGGUCAAUGGACGUAAGUCUGAACCAGCCAAGUCGCGUGAGGGAAGACUGCCUAUGGGUUGUAAACCUCUUUUAUAAGGGAAGAAAAGUUCUACGUGUAGAAUGAUGCCUGUACCUUAUGAAUAAGCAUCGGCUAACUCCGUGCCAGCAGCCGCGGUAAUACGGAGGAUGCGAGCGUUAUCCGGAUUUAUUGGGUUUAAAGGGUGCGUAGGCGGUUUAUUAAGUUAGUGGUUAAAUAUUUGAGCUAAACUCAAUUGUGCCAUUAAUACUGGUAAACUGGAGUACAGACGAGGUAGGCGGAAUAAGUUAAGUAGCGGUGAAAUGCAUAGAUAUAACUUAGAACUCCGAUAGCGAAGGCAGCUUACCAGACUGUAACUGA
This 629-nucleotide ribosomal RNA is filed under the name uncultured bacterium. RNAcentral's name for it is "bacterial SSU rRNA". It matches the Rfam family "Bacterial small subunit ribosomal RNA", at positions 95 to 743 of the family's 1533-position model. The record is from RNAcentral.